UACGUAGGGUGCAAGCGUUGUCCGGAAUUAUUGGGCGUAAAGGGCUCGUAGGCGGUCCAUCGCGUCGGGAGUGAAAAGCUGGGGCUUAACCCCAGUCCUGCUUCCGAUACGGGUGGACUAGAGGUAGGUAGGGGAGAACGGAAUUCCUGGUGUAGCGGUGAAAUGCGCAGAUAGCAGGAGGAACACCGGUGGCGAAGGCGGUUCUCUGGGCCUUACCUGACGCUGAGGAGCGAAAGCAUGGGGAGCAAACAGG
This 253-nucleotide ribosomal RNA is filed under the name uncultured bacterium. Its description in RNAcentral is "partial 16S ribosomal RNA". It matches the Rfam family "Bacterial small subunit ribosomal RNA", at positions 524 to 776 of the family's 1533-position model. The record is from RNAcentral.